RNAcentral lists this ribosomal RNA (754 nucleotides) under Klebsiella oxytoca. RNAcentral describes it as "bacterial SSU rRNA". It matches the Rfam family "Bacterial small subunit ribosomal RNA", at positions 53 to 793 of the family's 1533-position model. The record is from RNAcentral. Lineage: Bacteria; Pseudomonadati; Pseudomonadota; Gammaproteobacteria; Enterobacterales; Enterobacteriaceae.
ACAUGCAAGUCGAACGGUAGCACAGAGAGCUUGCUCUCGGGUGACGAGUGGCGGACGGGUGAGUAAUGUCUGGGAAACUGCCUGAUGGAGGGGGAUAACUACUGGAAACGGUAGCUAAUACCGCAUAACGUCGCAAGACCAAAGAGGGGGACCUUCGGGCCUCUUGCCAUCAGAUGUGCCCAGAUGGGAUUAGCUAGUAGGUGGGGUAACGGCUCACCUAGGCGACGAUCCCUAGCUGGUCUGAGAGGAUGACCAGCCACACUGGAACUGAGACACGGUCCAGACUCCUACGGGAGGCAGCAGUGGGGAAUAUUGCACAAUGGGCGCAAGCCUGAUGCAGCCAUGCCGCGUGUAUGAAGAAGGCCUUCGGGUUGUAAAGUACUUUCAGCGGGGAGGAAGGCGGUAAGGUUAAUAACCUUGUCGAUUGACGUUACCCGCAGAAGAAGCACCGGCUAACUCCGUGCCAGCAGCCGCGGUAAUACGGAGGGUGCAAGCGUUAAUCGGAAUUACUGGGCGUAAAGCGCACGCAGGCGGUCUGUCAAGUCGGAUGUGAAAUCCCCGGGCUCAACCUGGGAACUGCAUUCGAAACUGGCAGGCUAGAGUCUUGUAGAGGGGGGUAGAAUUCCAGGUGUAGCGGUGAAAUGCGUAGAGAUCUGGAGGAAUACCGGUGGCGAAGGGCGGCCCCCUGGGACAAAGACUGACGCUCAGGUGCGAAAAGCGUGGGGGAGCAAACAGGAUUAGAUACCCUGGGUAG